Molecule: long non-coding RNA, 572 nt
Organism: Aplysia californica (California sea hare)
Lineage: Eukaryota; Metazoa; Mollusca; Gastropoda; Aplysiida; Aplysiidae
Exons: 3
Source: RefSeq, a predicted model, not a curated record
CAUUUAUCUGUUACAUGCUGCAUGUUGAUUCUGUACAUGUGAUACAGCGCUUUGCUCCUCUCUGUAUAUGUAACGCACUGCAUUCUAGUUCAGUAUUUGUGAGACACUGCAUUUUAAUUCAGUAUUUGUGAGACACUGCAUUUUAAUUCAGUAUUUGUGAGACACUGCAUUUUAAUUCAGUAUUUGUGAGGCACUACUUUUAAUUCACUAUUUGUAAGCACCGCUUAUAAGUCCUGUAUUUGUAACGCAUUAUUUUUUAAGAUUUAUUUUCUUAACACAAUUCGUUAUAAAUCCGUAUCAGAACACAUCACCUCCUCCCCCUUUUUCCCCCUCCCCCUUUCUCCCACCCAGAAAACCGAAAACUGAGUACCGGGGAAAUGAAACCCUGGAUAGAGGUGAUCUCGGAGAUGGCGGCCAUACUGAUGGACAGUGACAUAAGAGCGAAACUUGGAGAACAGGCAAACGUCCUAGCCAAUGGUGUGAAGAUCCUCUCAGAAACUCUCCGGAUGCAGACAGCUAGGAAGAGCCUGAACCGUGCUGCCUCCAGAGUGAUGAGCAAAAUCUCCUCCGUG